UGAAGACGUUACUUUUCUUGUAACGCAAGCCAGAUGGAAAGUUCAGCGGGAAACAAUGUAUAACAUCGCAUUCAUUGUUUUCUUCCAAAAUACGAUGGUUGAGAAAUGUAUCACCGUAGUAGCGCUGCCUCCGAUUAGCAGAUUUCGACUGACAAGGAGGGUCACUAGAUUUUGGUGCCGACCAGUGCCAUAGCCGAAAAUAUUUUAAUGCGAGAGGGGGCAACGUGAAGGGCAUCACAGCAGCAGCCGAAACUCUUUCCGUAUAUAAUACUUUCAUUCGGCUAUCUUGACAUGUAAUAAAGUAAAAGAUUCAACCUGGUC
Molecule: long non-coding RNA, 321 nt
Organism: Rhipicephalus microplus (southern cattle tick)
Lineage: Eukaryota; Metazoa; Arthropoda; Arachnida; Ixodida; Ixodidae
Source: RefSeq, a predicted model, not a curated record